UCUUAUGUGUUUGGGUUAGUUCUACUGUUGUUGAAAGCUUUAAAAGCUUUGUUUGAGAAUUUUUGCUGCUAUUUGUUACUUUUGUAGCUGUGUGCUAUUGGACCUGUUUUGUUGGUUGAACUUCUGUGUAGGAAGUAGUUACUACGUAAGGGUAGUUAGUGUUGAGUUAGUAAUGGCUUCUUUAGAAGACUUCCUAAAGGAACCUUCAGAAGAGUUACUUGAGGUUUUUACAAAGGAUCAACUUUUGCAGUUGUCUUCUCAUUAUGAUAUUCCCAUCACAAGUAGUGAGAAGCGACUGAAGGAUAGUGUGAAGGAAAUCAUUAGAAGUGUUUUGAUUGACAAUGGUGUCUUAAAAGUUAAGCAGGUUUCCCCACAAUCCAUGACCGCUCCUUUGUCUGAAGCUGCAAUUGAGCUUAGGCUCAGAGAGCUAGCUUUUCAGGAGAAGCAGCUAGAUGUUAAUAUAAAAAUAAGAGAGAAGGAAAUGCAUCUAGCACAUGAACUGGCUCUUAAAGAGUUGGAAUUAAAAGCUGCUGCUUUAUCUCAAAGAGGUGAUACCUCUCCGUUUGAUGUUGGUAGACAUAUUAAGUUAGUACCUCCUUUUUCUGAGAAAGAUGUUGAGAGAUAUUUUUCUCAUUUUGAACGGGUGGCAACCACAUCAAAGUGGCCUAGAACUAUGUGGACUUUGCUUUUACAAAGUAUCUUGGUGGGAAGAGCUCAGGAAGCUUAUUCCGCUCUAAGUCUUGAGAAGAGUGCUAAUUAUGAUGAGGUUAAAACAGCUAUUUUGAAGGCAUAUGUAACAGGUGUUAUAUAAAUUUAUUUUCACACAAAAUCCCUCCCUUUGUUAUUAUAAAUUAUUUUAUAUUUAUGUAAUUAUUUUUAUAUUCUGGGAAUUUUUCUUUCAUCUGGAAUGUUAUUUGAGCUGUUUCUAUCCUUGUAUGUAAAUUUUUCAGUGUUAUUUUGUAAUUGUUAAAAUAUAGUACGUGGCCCCUUUAAGAGUUAGGUUCCGGUUGUUUUCCUUCAGUUCGCGGUAAGCGCAGCUGGGGAAAGGUCAAUGUUGAAAUUGUGGAGAAAGGCCACGGAUUGACACUUUUUUUCAUAAAUUUUCCUUUUUAUUCAUUCAG
Molecule: long non-coding RNA, 1121 nt
Organism: Cyprinus carpio (common carp)
Lineage: Eukaryota; Metazoa; Chordata; Actinopteri; Cypriniformes; Cyprinidae
Exons: 2
Source: RefSeq, a predicted model, not a curated record